CCUACGGGAGGCAGCAGUCGAGAAUCAUUCACAAUGGGGGAAACCCUGAUGGUGCGACGCCGCGUGGGGGAAUGAAGGUCUUCGGAUUGUAAACCCCUGUCAUGUGGGAGCAAAUUAAAAAGAUAGUACCACAAGAGGAAGAGACGGCUAACUCUGUGCCAGCAGCCGCGGGAAUACAGAGGUCUCAAGCGUUGUUCGGAAUCACGGGGCGUAAAGCGUGCGUAGGCUGUUUCGUAAGUCGUGUGUGAAAGGCGCGGGCUCAACCCGCGGACGGCACAUGAUACUGCGAGACUAGAGUAAUGGAGGGGGAACCGGAAUGCUCGGUGUAGCAGUGAAAUGCGUAGAUAUCGAGAGGAACACUCGUGGCGAAGGCGGGUUCCUGGACAUUAACUGACGCUGAGGCACGAAGGCCAGGGGAGCGAAAGGGAUUAGAUACCCUUGUAGUC
RNAcentral lists this ribosomal RNA (446 nucleotides) under uncultured bacterium. RNAcentral describes it as "partial 16S ribosomal RNA". It matches the Rfam family "Bacterial small subunit ribosomal RNA", at positions 338 to 795 of the family's 1533-position model. The record is from RNAcentral.